GGCAUCACACUUGGAGACUAUGUUUGGGGAGCGGUGGCUAUCCCAUUGUCCUUGGGAGCAGACUGUUUAGUAGAGAAGAAAGAAAGAAGAAAAGACGGCAUAUCUCUGAAGGCCCGGGAGACAAACUGUUAUCUGAGCAUCAGUAAACCUGAAGACUUCACUAUGCCAUCCUGAAAUUUUCCAACAGAGCAUGGCUCCAAAAGGUCCAUGAAGCUGGAAGAGUACCUAGAUGCAGCAUUGCAGCCCCUCCAGAUGUGUGAGGAGAGUCUUCUGGAGAGAAAGUGAUCCUCUUGCAUUAGCUUCUGGGAGGCUCAAAGAAUGGAGUGACUCAUCAUAGUGUCUGCUGCGUCAUCAGGAAAGAGGGUGCCCAAGGGACAGAGGCUAGACUGGGAUUUGAAGUUUCUGGAUUCUAACCACACUGGCUGUCUCUACAUGGGGCUGCAUCUUGAUUGUGGUUUAUAGGUAAUCACUUAAUUUCACGAUCUUUGCACAUUUUCCUUUCAAAAAUGGCAACAAUUAUCCUUUAUUCUUCCAUCUCCCUUCUAGGAUAUGGCAAAGAGUCAUUAUUAUUAAAAAAAAAAAAAAAGAAAUUGAAAAAAAAAAAAGAAAUUGUCAAUCUGUCCAGAGGUAUUUGCUAUAUAAAUACAGAAAACAAUUCUCAUGAUUUCCUUUGCCUUUGGGGCUGUGCCUGUAGGGUAAGUAGGCACUUUCUCAAUGAAGGGGGCGUUUUGAAAUUCCUUCCAAAGAAGUCUGGCAUUCAUUCUAAAUUGACCUGGAGGCUGAGGAGCCCUGGAGUUUUUCCAGCUAGUUCAAACUCUGCCAGAAGUCACUGCCUGCAAACAGCCUACCACAGUCUUGGGAAUGAACUCUGA
This 872-nucleotide long non-coding RNA is filed under the name Vulpes vulpes (red fox). RNAcentral describes it as "lncRNA (ENSVVUG00000018535.1)". The record is from RNAcentral. Lineage: Eukaryota; Metazoa; Chordata; Mammalia; Carnivora; Canidae.